This 250-nucleotide ribosomal RNA is filed under the name uncultured bacterium. RNAcentral describes it as "partial 16S ribosomal RNA". It matches the Rfam family "Bacterial small subunit ribosomal RNA", at positions 30 to 288 of the family's 1533-position model. The record is from RNAcentral.
AUUGAACGCUGGCGGCAUGCCUAACACAUGCAAGUCGAACGAGGUGUAGCAAUACAUCUAGUGGCGGACGGGUGAGGAAUACGUAGGAAUUUGCCUUAGAGCGGGGGAUAGCCCAGGGAAACUUGGAGUAAUACCGCAUGAUGUCGAAAGACCAAAGCAGGGGACCGCAAGGCCUUGCACUCUGAGAGAAGCCUACGUCUGAUUAGCUAGUUGGUAGGGUAAUGGCCUACCAAGGCGACGAUCAGUAACU